UAUAAUGGGUCAGCGACUUAUAUUCUGUAGCAAGGUUAACCGUAUAGGGGAGCCGAAGGGAAACCGAGUCUUAACUGGGCGUUAAGUUGCAGGGUAUAGACCCGAAACCCGGUGAUCUAGCCAUGGGCAGGUUGAAGGUUGGGUAACACUAACUGGAGGACCGAACCGACUAAUGUUGAAAAAUUAGCGGAUGACUUGUGGCUGGGGGUGAAAGGCCAAUCAAACCGGGAGAUAGCUGGUUCUCCCCGAAAGCUAUUUAGGUAGCGCCUCGUGAACUCAUCUUCGGGGGUAGAGCACUGUUUCGGCUAGGGGGUCAUCCCGACUUACCAACCCGAUGCAAACUGCGAAUACCGAAGAAUGUUAUCACGGGAGACACACGGCGGGUGCUAACGUCCGUCGUGAAGAGGGAAACAACCCAGACCGCCAGCUAAGGUCCCAAAGUCACAGUUAAGUGGGAAACGAUGUGGGAAGGCUCAGACAGCCAGGAUGUUGGCUUAGAAGCAGCCAUCAUUUAAAGAAAGCGUAAUAGCUCACUGGUCGAGUCGGCCUGCGCGGAAGAUGUAACGGGGCUAAACUGUGCACCGAAGCUGCGGCAGCGACGCUUAUGCGUUGUUGGGUAGGGGAGCGUUCUGUAAGCCUGCGAAGGUGUCCUGUGAGGGAUGCUGGAGGUAUCAGAAGUGCGAAUGCUGACAUAAGUAACGAUAA
This 705-nucleotide ribosomal RNA is filed under the name Salmonella enterica subsp. enterica serovar Kentucky. Its description in RNAcentral is "partial 23S ribosomal RNA". It matches the Rfam family "Bacterial large subunit ribosomal RNA", at positions 611 to 1315 of the family's 2925-position model. The record is from RNAcentral. Lineage: Bacteria; Pseudomonadati; Pseudomonadota; Gammaproteobacteria; Enterobacterales; Enterobacteriaceae.